This 253-nucleotide ribosomal RNA is filed under the name uncultured bacterium. RNAcentral describes it as "partial 16S ribosomal RNA". It matches the Rfam family "Bacterial small subunit ribosomal RNA", at positions 524 to 776 of the family's 1533-position model. The record is from RNAcentral.
UACGAAGGGGGCGAGCGUUGUUCGGAAUUACUGGGCGUAAAGGGCGCGUAGGCGGCCUGCUAAGUCGAACGUGAAAUCCCUGGGCUCAACCCAGGAACUGCGUCCGAUACUGGUUGGCUUGAAUCCGGGAGAGGGACGUGGAAUUCCAGGUGUAGCGGUGAAAUGCGUAGAUAUCUGGAGGAACACCGGUGGCGAAGGCGACGUCCUGGACCGGUAUUGACGCUGAGGCGCGAAAGCCAGGGGAGCAAACGGG